CUUAGUCAGAGGAAAGUCCGGACUCCGAAUGGCGGUGUAAGGGGUAACGCCCCUCCGGUGAAAACCGAGGACUAGUGGAACAGAGAGAAUGUCCAGGACUAUGAUCUUUCUAGCGGGAACGGGAGCUAGAUUGGGAGUUGCUGGAGUGAAAGCAGCUAAACUCUACACGGAGCAAGAUCAAAUAGGGAAGCGUUUAAGUACGGCCAGUAUGAGGCUUCCGGGUUGAUCGCUUGAGGGAUAUAGCAAUGUAUCUCCUAGACGAAUAUUUGCCUCGCAAGUUUUCUUGGCAAAAACUUGUCAGACAGAAUCCGGCUUACCAGC
Molecule: RNase P RNA, 321 nt
Filed under: marine eukaryotic metagenome
Description: Bacterial RNase P class A
Rfam family: Bacterial RNase P class A
About the family: Ribonuclease P (RNase P) is a ubiquitous endoribonuclease, found in archaea, bacteria and eukarya as well as chloroplasts and mitochondria. Its best characterised activity is the generation of mature 5'-ends of tRNAs by cleaving the 5'-leader elements of precursor-tRNAs.
Source: RNAcentral